Molecule: transfer RNA, 73 nt
Filed under: Capra hircus (goat)
Lineage: Eukaryota; Metazoa; Chordata; Mammalia; Artiodactyla; Bovidae
Also listed under: 1 other name
Rfam family: tRNA
About the family: Transfer RNA (tRNA) molecules are approximately 80 nucleotides in length. Their secondary structure includes four short double-helical elements and three loops (D, anti-codon, and T loops). Further hydrogen bonds mediate the characteristic L-shaped molecular structure. tRNAs have two regions of fundamental functional importance: the anti-codon, which is responsible for specific mRNA codon recognition, and the 3' end, to which the tRNAs corresponding amino acid is attached (by aminoacyl-tRNA synthetases). tRNAs cope with the degeneracy of the genetic code in two manners: having more than one tRNA (with a specific anti-codon) for a particular amino acid; and 'wobble' base-pairing, i.e. permitting non-standard base-pairing at the 3rd anti-codon position.
Source: Rfam by way of RNAcentral
UCCCUAGUGGUCCAGUGAUUAGGACUCCACGCUUUUACUGUGGAGGACACAGGUUUGAUCCCUUGUCGAGGAA